RNAcentral lists this long non-coding RNA (456 nucleotides) under Ornithorhynchus anatinus (platypus). RNAcentral describes it as "lncRNA (ENSOANG00000042052.1)". The record is from RNAcentral. Lineage: Eukaryota; Metazoa; Chordata; Mammalia; Monotremata; Ornithorhynchidae.
GGUACCUGAAGUGUGACACGGACGAUGGGUGUGAGGCCAUUGAGGGCGGCCCUUCGACACGGUCGACGACGCCCUCGUGUCCGGCGACAGCGUCCGCUUCUUCGUCAACGUCGACCCGGAGGUCCAGCAGAGUCUCGCAGACAGCGAAGGGUCCGGCUGUGUCCUGCCCCACACGUCCAGGAAGUACCUGAAGCUGAAGAGCUUCGGGGAGGAGAUCCGGGCGCGCCGGAACCUGGACGGCUUCCCGCCCCGGGCCGGCAUCCUCCCGGACGAGACGGCCGCGCCCCGGACGACGUCCUGUGCAAGAUGCUCAGACGUUUUGCCGAGGACGCCGACGGCGCCGAGCCCAACUGCAACUUCGACAAGAUCACGGGCACCCCGUUCACCGACUGGAGCACCCCCGUGAGGGUAACGUCCACCUUCUCUCGUCAUCCGGGGGGGCGACGGCCACGGUGA